UACGAAGGGGGCUAGCGUUGCUCGGAAUGACUGGGCGUAAAGGGCGCGUAGGCGGUUUUGGCAGUCAGAUGUGAAAUUCCUGGGCUCAACCUGGGGACUGCAUUUGAUACGCCCGGACUUGAGUGGGGAAGAGGGUCGUGGAAUUCCCAGUGUAGAGGUGAAAUUCGUAGAUAUUGGGAAGAACACCGGUGGCGAAGGCGGCGACCUGGACGAGGCACUGACACUCAACUACGAAAGCGUGGGGAGCAAACAGG
RNAcentral lists this ribosomal RNA (254 nucleotides) under uncultured bacterium. Its description in RNAcentral is "partial 16S ribosomal RNA". It matches the Rfam family "Bacterial small subunit ribosomal RNA", at positions 524 to 776 of the family's 1533-position model. The record is from RNAcentral.